Molecule: long non-coding RNA, 2524 nt
Organism: Astatotilapia calliptera (eastern happy)
Lineage: Eukaryota; Metazoa; Chordata; Actinopteri; Cichliformes; Cichlidae
Source: Ensembl
CUGACACUGAUAACAGCUUAUGUUUUCUCUGCCCUAUGUACCGACAUGAUGGAGAAGGAACAUCCUCUGUGUCAGCUGGACCCUCAGCAGAGAAUGAACUCAACAUCCUUUUUGUCCGGUACUCUAUGUCACACACUGUGCCAAAAAAAAAACGUGUACAGACGCCACUAACAGACUUUUUCAGGCUAUACAGCUGCCAUCGGCCGUUGCAGUUGUAAAAACGACAGGACACAGUACAGCUGACACAGACGAAGCAACAGGUAAUGCCUUAGCAGACGUGACAGCCAAGGCUGCAGCUGCAUCACAGCUCCCACCUCCGCAGGAAGUAUUAUCUGUGCCCCUACAGCUGCCACUUGUUACACUCCCAGACUAUUUAGAAACAAAUGUUGAUUUAAAAUUCAUACAAGAGCAAGCCUCUGCAUGUGAUUACACCUAUUGGGAGAAUAAUGACUGCACCUUAGAUGACAGAGAUGGCCUAUACUAAAUCUUAAGGGUUUGAUUGCCCUCCCAUAUUCCCUGAUGCCAGUCCUUGCCCGACAUUUUCACUGUGUGAGUCAUGUCGGACAAAGAGGGGUAAUAGGGGCAAUAAAAUCAAGAUUUGUAAUUGAGAAAACAUUGCAUGCAGUAAAAAGCAUAUUAGCAACCUGUCUAACAUGUGCGCGAACUAAUGUAGGUAGCUCAAAAGCAAAACAUCAGCAUUUACCACAACCAGAUUUUCCAUUUCAUACAUUACAAAUUGAUUUUACACAUAUGCCAGCACAAGGAAGUAUCAAGUACUUACUGGUAAUAGUGGAUCAAUUUAGUAAAUGAGUAGAAGCUUAUCCAACCUCAAAAGAAACUGCAGAAGUAGUCUGUCAAAAGUUGAGCAAUGAAAUAAUACCCAGAUUCGGAAUACCUCACCAGAUUAACAGUGAUAGAGGAUCUUCAUUCACAUUAGAAGUAAUUCAAAAGUGUGCUAAAACUUUAAUGACCUGUGUCAAAUUACUUACUCAAGUCCUGUGUGAGAUUAGAAUGACUCAAUCUGAAGUAACCAAAUUAUUUCCAUUUGAAAUAAGACUAUUUCCAAGACCAUGGUCAGCUUCCAGAGGGGCACCGCUAGUAGAAGGUGAUGUAUAUUGCAUUGUCCACUGAUGUUCACAACCUGAUAGAAAAACUGAAUAAUAACUAUCAGAAAGUUUGUCUCUCUCAGCUUUUCCCCUCCACAGUUCCACCAGUGGAGACAAGGAGAUGCAUGUUGGAGAAGCCACUAAAACCAAGGACUCUCUGGGAGGCCGCGCGUGUUCCAGCCCCCAGACUGUACUGGCAGUGACGAAGAACCAGCAUCCUCACAGACGGACAACCUCAGUGGAUUCAUGCCAGCAGGGUUAAGACCAGCCCAAUCGGACCAUCUCAGGCGUCGGAUCAAGCAGACGACAUCUCCGGCGAGCCAGCGCCCGGAACUAGAGCAAAUAAACACACACGGGUAGAUGACAUCUCCGGCGAGCCAGCGCCAGGAUCCAAUGUACACACACACAAUCACUGAUUAACACACAACGUCUGAAAGAGCAACAACAAGGUACUCAAACAUCCAGCAGGAACAGAAAGCCAAAAGUACCACAUGAUGUCUAACCUGAUAAAGCCAGACUCAUUUCAUCCUGAUAAUGGAGAAAAUGAAAUGCCCAUUGUCAUCAUACGACGCUUAUUCUAUGUCUCUCGAACCUGGGACCAGGCCAGAAGACGACUGAAGAACUGUCUUUUUUAUAUAUUUAGGUUAUUAAUCAUAUCUACUGCAUUAACCUUAGGAUUUUUAUUUACUAUUUCAUAUUGUAAAGUGCAACCCUGUUCACAUUUCUGCAAGCCACAUUUUCAAUGAUAACCCAUAUAGCUACCAGUACAGCCACUUCAAUGUAUUUGCAAUUAGCACAAAUUGAUCCUGAGGAUGUGCCAGAUGUUACCAAUGAUGUUCCUGAUGUGUAUAUUGAACAUUAGGUUGUGAACUAUUACAUUUUAUGAUUUGCUUUUUAUAUUAUGUUAUUACAUUUGUGAUUUUUCCUUUCUAUUUGAGUUAUUAUUUUUAAAAAAUAAUAAAAGAGGGGAACUGUUAGGUAUUUUAGUACCACGGUUAGCAUUUACAGAAGAUUGUUUUAUACAGAAAAGAGUUGCUCAAUAAGGCCCAUCUACUAGUUGUUUUUCUCUUUCUCUGUGACCCAAGAAUUAAUGUGAGACUCACAAGCUGGUACCUCAAGGUCGAAAACACCACAGAGAUGAGACCACUUCUUUACUCCCAUCCUCCCUUUUCCUUAUCUCCUGGAAAAGGCUCGUUAAAGGCUAGGUGGUUCGUUUCAGAAUUCACUAAUGAAAGAACUCUGUAUUUUAUGUCUAGGAGUGUAUUUUGCUGGGAUGAUCAUAAAUUGUAGCUGAGCUGAUAAACUACACACAGGAUACUUCUUUGUUCACAAGGCAGGAAGACGUUUCCUUAUUUGGUCUGUACCGGUUUGAACUGGGAAAGCUGACACACGAACCUUUUUUCAUCUAUAUAAACUGC